RNAcentral lists this ribosomal RNA (253 nucleotides) under Dorea longicatena. RNAcentral describes it as "partial 16S ribosomal RNA". It matches the Rfam family "Bacterial small subunit ribosomal RNA", at positions 524 to 776 of the family's 1533-position model. Lineage: Bacteria; Bacillati; Bacillota; Clostridia; Lachnospirales; Lachnospiraceae. The record is from RNAcentral.
UACGUAGGGGGCAAGCGUUAUCCGGAUUUACUGGGUGUAAAGGGAGCGUAGACGGCACGGCAAGCCAGAUGUGAAAGCCCGGGGCUCAACCCCGGGACUGCAUUUGGAACUGCUGAGCUAGAGUGUCGGAGAGGCAAGUGGAAUUCCUAGUGUAGCGGUGAAAUGCGUAGAUAUUAGGGGGAACACCAGUGGCGAAGGCGGCUUGCUGGACGAUGACUGACGUUGAGGCUCGAAAGCGUGGGGAGCAAACAGG